GUGCUUGCUUCAGCAGUACAUAUACUAAAAUUGGAAUGACACAGAAAAGAUUAGCAAAGAUGCAAGGAUGUAUAAAGAUGACAUGCAAAUCUGCAAAGCAUUUCAUAUUUUU
Talpa occidentalis (Iberian mole) is the source of this 112-nucleotide small nuclear RNA. NCBI's taxonomy places the organism in Eukaryota, Metazoa, Chordata, Mammalia, Eulipotyphla, Talpidae. The record is from RefSeq and is a predicted model, not a curated record.